Molecule: ribosomal RNA, 449 nt
Filed under: Klebsiella pneumoniae
Lineage: Bacteria; Pseudomonadati; Pseudomonadota; Gammaproteobacteria; Enterobacterales; Enterobacteriaceae
Description: bacterial LSU rRNA
Rfam family: Bacterial large subunit ribosomal RNA
Source: RNAcentral
GUGCGAAAGCAGGUCAUAGUGAUCCGGUGGUUCUGAAUGGAAGGGCCAUCGCUCAACGGAUAAAAGGUACUCCGGGGAUAACAGGCUGAUACCGCCCAAGAGUUCAUAUCGACGGCGGUGUUUGGCACCUCGAUGUCGGCUCAUCACAUCCUGGGGCUGAAGUAGGUCCCAAGGGUAUGGCUGUUCGCCAUUUAAAGUGGUACGCGAGCUGGGUUUAGAACGUCGUGAGACAGUUCGGUCCCUAUCUGCCGUGGGCGCUGGAGAAUUGAGGGGGGCUGCUCCUAGUACGGAGAGGACCGGAGUGGACGCAUCACUGGUGUUCGGGUUGUCAUGCCAAUGGCACUGCCCGGUAGCUAAAUGCGGAAGAGAUAAGUGCUGAAAGCAUCUAAGCACGAAACUUGCCCCGAGAUGAGUUCUCCCUGAGACUUUAAGUCUCCUGAAGGAACGUU